AUGCUGCUCUGUAUUAGUCAAGACAAAUCUGCCCCCUCCUCUGCUCCAGCUCCUGAAAUCAAUAAAAUGGCAGGUCUGGCCUCCCACUUUUUUGACAAUAAGCUUGAACUCUACAAAGAAAUGGAUGACUUUGCAGAGCAUUCAUGGUGCCUUCUCACUGCAGCUGUUUUUGGCAUGCCUACGUUUUCUAGAUCCUUCACAGUUACCUCCAAUGUGUCCUUUCCCAGGCCCGUACAGAAUGGGACAGCAACCAAAUUCCUGUGUGGCCACUGGAAAACUCCCACCACCCCUAGCCUGGACAGGAAGAAGAUUUAUUGGGAGCUGAGCAAUCAGACCCAAGGUAUCACCAGGCUGGGUGCCUAUACCCUGGACAAUAAGAGCCUCUAUCUCGAUGCACCAGACCCAGCAGUAGCACCUGGUUGUCCCCUGUGGGCCACAGAGCCUGGAGGCUCCCAAGCUGCCAGCUUAAGCUUCCAGUCUUUCACCACCAUUCCCGAGGUGCUGUACACAGAAGAUAUACAUCUUUCUGGAUCUGACAAGUUCAACUUCACCAAAAGAACCCUGCAGCAGUGAGUCUGCCCAAUCCCUUCCUCAUACCCCAAAAAGUCUGCUUUAUUGUGAAUCUCCCCUUACCCUUGUAUUCUCAGGAAAUUCAUUCCUGUUUUGGGGGUAUGGUUUAGAACAAAUUUUCUAAGAUAAAUAUUCAAUCCAGUGGGGAUCUUGGUUUAAAC
This 731-nucleotide long non-coding RNA is filed under the name Monodelphis domestica (gray short-tailed opossum). Its description in RNAcentral is "lncRNA (ENSMODG00000036393.1)". Lineage: Eukaryota; Metazoa; Chordata; Mammalia; Didelphimorphia; Didelphidae. The record is from RNAcentral.